CUGGUUCAAGCCCCAGUUCCACCAGUCCCAGCCAUGUGGCCAUGUGCCACGUCACCUCUCUUGGUUUCAUAGGUAAAGGGGGGACAAGAACCUCCCCUAAUGGGUCAGCAUGAGGGGCCAGUGGGACAAGUUAGUAAACUACAUUAUUAAGCAAGUAGUCACCUGCAUUUUUAAAAGACUUCCUGGGGCAAAUGGGCUUGAGAUGGGCCCUGUAGGUUUUGGGUAGGAUUGAAGGUGCAUUGCAGUGCUCUGAUAAGUCCUCCCUCCUGAAAAUGGGCGUCCUCUCUGGAUUGAUCUGGUUUGGUCCCUCUCCUCCCCUCCACUGCACUCUGGAUGGCUACAGAGAUGGCAGAGUUUGCUGACGUCAUCUGCCGAAGCUCUUUCUAUUCCAGAACUUGCCCUUUCUCCGUGGCUGAUGAGCCUGGUUUGUGUAUCCAAGCAACCAGAUGGCUGAAGUCCCCUGAGCCAUUAGAAUCCAUUGUUUACUCCUUUAGCUCUGAAAGGUCUGGGUGGGUACUGGUGAGCUCCUGGGGAACCCCCCUUUUCUUUAGAAUCUUCUGGAAGACUGGGGCUUCCAAAUCUGGAGGCUAAAAUGAUUCUGGGCUCUCGGGAUUAGCGAAGGGGAAGGGGUCAUGUUUGCUUGGUAGAUCACAGCUUAGGCCUGGACUCUGCCUCCAGCCUCCCGGGCAGUGUACAGAGGGGUUACUGAUUACCCACUGUCUGCCUCAGUGCAUCUCACAAUCUGCCUUGCUCACCCCCUACAGCCAUAGCCUUCAAGAUGCCAUACCAGUUGCCACUGCAGUUCUCGACUGCUUCUAAUGUGUUUGGACCAGAAAUCAGCUGUGUUUAGUAAAACUUCUGGGGCCUAGAACCUCCUUGUUGUUCCCAUGGGCUCACGCUCACCUCCCUAGCUGGGGUUGGGGUGGGGGUGGAGGGUGGCUGAAGCACAGUUGAGCAAAAGGCCUGUGAUCCUCCUGGCCUGGGGUAAGAUGGUCCUGAGCGAUCGCGACCCCACUGCUGGACAGACUUCAAACUAGGCAUCAGAACAGAGGGUGUCCUUCCAGUCACACCCCACACCAGGGGUGGGGGGUGGAAGUGCAAGCAACAAGGGGCAGGAAUACGCACUCAGGGGAACACGCAAAUUCACAGCUCCCGAUCCCCACACACUCCCCACCCCCCAAAUAUAGAAUAGAAUCAGUGCCUCUCAGGGGGACGAUAUCCUCCGGCUCACUGUGACGCCCCUCCCCACCCCGUCCCCAGACUCACCGCCCCAUCUCUACCCUGGGAGGUCAUAAGCGCCGCCCCAGCACGGUGGUGCGGAGGGAGCAGUAGCCCGGCUGUCCCGCGUCGCUGCCACCGCCCUUCUCCGAGCCUCAGUUUCCCCCGCUCACGUCUGGACGGUGGGAGCGGGCCGAGAACUCGAGGCUGCCAUCUGAGGCCUGGAGACGCCGACUCCGGGCCCAGCGCGCGGCAGGAUUGUGACUAUCACCUUGAAGUAUCAGUGACAGAACAGAGUGGACUUCACGUGGGGCACGAGUGGAUCCGAGUGUGCAAGGGUGGUUCAAAGGGUAAAGGAGAUGCCAGACGGAUAGAGAAGCCAUUCCCAUGCCCCAGGAGCCCCCGCCUGCUAGAGGAGACGCAAGGGCAGCCGCCUCUCGGCCAUCCAGUGUGGACCUGAGGGGCCCUGGGAGAGGGCGUUGAGCAGCCUCAGGGGAGGCAGACGGCGUGUCAAGUGGGACAAGCUGUCACCCUCUCGACGGUACAUUUAUUAAGGCUGACUGCACCAGACCCAGGGCUGGCCUGACAACCCUAAGGUGAAUCAGACUGGCCUUUGUCUAAGGAGCUCACAGCUUUGUGGGGCAGGUGUCCCUUACUCAGCUGGAUGAAGCUUCAAGGUGGUGGAGCCACAAGUUGGAAGGAGCCUGUUUUCCCAAGUCUCUGCAUGGAGGAGAGAUAACCAGAAAAGCUGACUGACAUGGUUCAGAUUUUACAUCGGGAUGUCCUGUUCUCUGUGUCCCCACGGUACUGUCUGAGCCCAGCCCUCUCCUUGUCUCUUCCGGGAAGCCACCUGCGGAGGCAGCAUUCUGAAGACGUUCCCCUGAGAUGCCUGUUCCCUGGUUGGCCAAUCAAACAGGAAUCCAGGAACUGCUGUGACGGGCCUUUGCAGAUGGAGUUAAGGCUUCGAAGACGGGGAAGACGCCAUAAGCCAAGGACUGCGGGGGGCUGCUGGAAGCUGAGACCAGCCAGCAUCCUCCAUCCUGCCACCGCAGGGAACUGAGUCCGCUCACAACCUGAAUGAGCUGGGAAGCAGGUUCAUCUCCAGAGCCUCUGGAAAGGAACACGGCCCUGAGGACACCUUGAUUUUGGCUCUCCGAAACCUGCAGGAGAGAAGCAGCAGAGCCUUCUUGUGCCCAGACUUCUGGCCUAUAGACCGUGAGUUAAAAGUGGGUGUGGCUGUGUUGCUAAAUUUGCGGUAAUUUGUUGCAGCAAGUAGAAAACGAACACAUCGUCUGUGCAUUACGUAGGGCCACAGGUCUGUGGCCGUCUCCCUCCCGAGAGGUCUGCUUGCCCUCCACCUGACUCUCAGCCCGUGACUGCUGUGACGAGCGAGUGAGCACAAGUGAAGCUGUGUCAGUCCCGGGCCUAACCUUCCAGAGGUCCCUCGGAGCCUUGAGCUGUCAGGUGUGACAUUUGACUGUGCAGUGACUGCCACCUGGAGAGGCCACGUGGAGAGAGGAGAUUCCUGGCCAGUUCCAGCUCCCGGCCAUUUAAGUCAUCCUGGCUGAGGCCCAGACAUCAUGGAGCGGAGACACAUCAUCUCUAUUGUACCCUGUCCAAAUCCCUGAUCCACAGUAAUGUGAUAAAAU
Long non-coding RNA from Choloepus didactylus (southern two-toed sloth), 2867 nucleotides. RefSeq lists it as uncharacterized. The record is from RefSeq and is a predicted model, not a curated record. The transcript is spliced from 7 exons. NCBI's taxonomy places the organism in Eukaryota, Metazoa, Chordata, Mammalia, Pilosa, Megalonychidae.